GAUGAACGCUGGCUACAGGCUUAACACAUGCAAGUCGAGGGGAAACGACGGGGAAGCUUGCUUCCCCGGGCGUCGACCGGCGCACGGGUGAGUAACGCGUAUCCAACCUGCCUCUGACUGAGGGAUAACCCGUCGAAAGUCGGCCUAAUACCUCAUGGCAUCGUCUGCGGGCAUCCAACGACGAUUAAAGAUUUCAUCGGUCAGAGAUGGGGAUGCGUCUGAUUAGCUUGUUGGCGGGGUAACGGCCCACCAAGGCGACGAUCAGUAGGGGUUCUGAGAGGAAGGGCCCCCCAUUUGGAACGGGGGCCCGGCCCAAACCCCGACGGGGGGCGGCAGUGGGGAAUAUGGGCAAAGGGGCGGGAGCCUGAACCAGCCAAGUAGCGUGCAGGAUGACGGCCCUUUGGGUUUUAACCUGCUUUUAUGGGGGGAUAAAGGGAGGGACGUGCCCUUCAUUGCAGGGACCGCAGGAAUAAGGACCGGCGAAUUCCGU
This 490-nucleotide ribosomal RNA is filed under the name uncultured bacterium. Its description in RNAcentral is "partial 16S ribosomal RNA". It matches the Rfam family "Bacterial small subunit ribosomal RNA", at positions 28 to 506 of the family's 1533-position model. The record is from RNAcentral.